Molecule: ribosomal RNA, 460 nt
Filed under: uncultured bacterium
Lineage: Bacteria
Description: partial 16S ribosomal RNA
Rfam family: Bacterial small subunit ribosomal RNA
Source: RNAcentral
CCUACGGGUGGCAGCAGUGAGGAAUAUUGGUCAAUGGACGAGAGUCUGAACCAGCCAAGUAGCGUGAAGGAUGACUGCCCUAUGGGUUGUAACCUUCUUUUAUAAAGGAAUAAAACGAGGCACGUGUGCCUUUUUGCAUGUACUUUAUGAAUAAGGAUCGGCUAACUCCGUGCCAGCAGCCGCGGUAAUACGGUGGGUCCGAGCGUUAUCCGGAUUUAUUGGGUUUAAAGGGAGCGUAGAUGGGUUGUUAAGUCAGUUGUGAAAGUGUGCGGCUCAACCGUAAAAUUGCAAUUGAUACUGGCAGGCUGGAGUAUAGGUGAGGUAGGCGGAAUUCGUGGUGUAGCGGUGAAAUGCUUAGAUAUCACGAAGAACCCCGAUUGCGAAGGCAGCUUACUAAACUGUGACUGACAUUGAGGCUCGAAAGUGUGGGUAUCAAACAGGAUUAGAUACCCGAGUAGUC